RNAcentral lists this long non-coding RNA (1074 nucleotides) under Podarcis muralis (Common wall lizard). RNAcentral's name for it is "lncRNA (ENSPMRG00000021269.1)". The record is from RNAcentral. Lineage: Eukaryota; Metazoa; Chordata; Lepidosauria; Squamata; Lacertidae.
AUGGUCCCUCUUGCUUUUUACUGCACGAGAAGGAAUAGAGCGUUGAAAUCCGAACAGGAAAACAGGGAAGAAGCAAAUUCCGAGUACCUUGAAAUGUUCAGCGCCACAAGGAAGCCUCAGAGGACUCAGACGCCUUUUACUGCCUUGCCGCCCCCUGCUCUGCCUCAGCCCCCAAUAUCGCAAUCAUGGAUGGAGAGCGGAGCCAAACCAGGGGAAGACCAGGAGGAAGGUCUCUACAACAACAUUCCCCUUCAGGGCAAGAAGAGAGCAGAACAAUACAGAGAUUCUGAAGAAGAAUGAGCCAUCGGGGAGAUUAAAAUAUUCAGAUGGGGAUUUAUGACCAGGGAGAUGGGGUGGAAGGGGUCAGGGAAGAGGGCAGUGUUUUUCUCUGCAUACGGCUUGGCUCAACUUCUGCAGCACUUUCCUCAAGAGCAGGGGUCAGCAAACUUUUUCAGCAGGCGGCCGGUCCACUGUCCCUCAGACCUUGUGGGGGACCGGACUAUAUUUUGAAGGAAAAAAUAUGAACGAAUUCCUAUGCCCCACAAAUAACCCAGAAAUGCAUUUUAAAUAAAAGAACACAUUCUACUCAUGUAAAAACACGCAGAUUCCCAGACCGUCCACGGGCCGGGUUUAGAAGGGAUUGAGCCUUUUCCAUUCUCAUUUUAAUCUUCUGACAUACCCAAGUACAGCCCACCCAAACACCCCCUGACCAUUGACCAUGCUGGCUUGGACAGAUACAGUUUGGUCCAACAACAACUGGAAGGCUACAGGUUCCCCCAGCCUUGUUCUAGAUAGAGGACAGAGGACCUUCUUGGUAGUGGCACCCUCCCUGUGGAAUGCCCGCCCUUCAGAUGUCAAGGAAAUAAACACCUAUCUGACUUUUGAAGGACAUCUGCAGGCAGCCCUGUUUAGGAAAGUUUUAAAGACGAUGUUUUUAGAUAUGCUGUAAACUGCCCAGAUGGGCAGGAUAUAAAUAAUAAAAUUAUUAUUAUUAUUAUUAUUAUUAUUAUUAUUAUUAUUAUUAUUAUUAUAAAAUGAUUUGCAAUAGCUAGAUGUGCCAUUGGAAGCUUAUGU